CAUACUCGUUGACAUCUAUGCCAUCAAAUAUGAUCUCAUUGCUAGCGCCUCUAAAUAUGGUUUUUUGAGUCCGCUAAUGACUUACUGUGGUAAUGGAGGACCUCCAUAUAACUACAAUAUCAGGGUCACCUGUGGUACACCUGGCUGUGAGGCCUGCAGUAAUGGAUCUCAAUACAUCAGUUGGGAUGGCAUUCACCACACAGAAGCUGCUAACUCCAUCAUAGCCUCGAAAAUAUUGUCCACAGCUUAUUCAACACCACGGACUCCAUUGAAUUUUUUUUGCCGAAGAUGAUAUGUUCAGGUGAAGCACAUUUGAGUGCACACCACACAUCCACGUGCUUUAUUGUAGCAAUUUUUCAUCUUAUAGCUAUGAGAAGAUGGUAACCUCGCAUUGCCUGUAACAACAGUUAAUGGAGGAAUUAGGAUGAUCGCAUCGCCGAUCAGUGAUUAGACAGAUUUAGUUCCUUGCUGAAGCUAAACCGGGUGGCAAAGCAUCUGUCAAGUGGCGAA
This is a long non-coding RNA of Syzygium oleosum, 510 nucleotides long. RefSeq lists it as uncharacterized. Lineage: Eukaryota; Viridiplantae; Streptophyta; Magnoliopsida; Myrtales; Myrtaceae. The transcript is spliced from 2 exons. The record is from RefSeq and is a predicted model, not a curated record.